Molecule: ribosomal RNA, 508 nt
Filed under: uncultured bacterium
Lineage: Bacteria
Description: partial 16S ribosomal RNA
Rfam family: Bacterial small subunit ribosomal RNA (bases 15-371)
Source: RNAcentral
GACGAACGCUGGCGGCGUGCUUAACACAUGCAAGUCGAACGGAAAGGCCCUGCUUUUGUGGGGUGCUCGAGUGGCGAACGGGUGAGUAACACGUGAGUAACCUGCCCUUGACUUUGGGAUAACUUCAGGAAACUGGGGCUAAUACCGGAUAGGAGCUCCUGCUGCAUGGUGGGGGUUGGAAAGUUUCGGCGGUUGGGGAUGUACUCGCGGCUUAUCAGCUUGUUGGUGGGGUAGUGGCUUACCAAGGCUUUGACGGGUAGCCGGCCUGAGAGGGUGACCGGCGACGUGGGGAAGGAGUCACGGCACAGACGAGGAGAGGGGGCAGAGGAGGAGAAAGGUGAACAGUGGGGGGACGCGGGAUGCCGCAGCGCGGGGUGGGGGAUGAGGGCCGGGGGGUUGUACCGCGCUUGCGGGGGGGAGGAGGAGGGGGUGAGGGUGAUGAACAAAGAGGAACGGGCUAACGCCGGGCCAGCGGCCGAGGGAAUAGACGGAAGAGAACACGUCUAAC